Molecule: ribosomal RNA, 488 nt
Filed under: uncultured bacterium
Lineage: Bacteria
Description: bacterial SSU rRNA
Rfam family: Bacterial small subunit ribosomal RNA
Source: RNAcentral
UGGCUCAGAUUGAACGCUGGCGGCAUGCCUUCCACAUGCAAGUCGAACGGUAACGGGCCUUCGGGUGCCGACGAGUGGCGAACGGGUGAGUAAUGUAUCGGAACGUACCUUUCAGUGGGGAUAACGUAGCGAAAGUUACGCUAAUACCGCAUAUUCUGUGAGCAGGAAAGCAGGGGAUCGCAAGACCUUGCGCUGAUUGAGCGGCCGAUAUCAGAUUAGCUAGUUGGUGAGGUAAAGGCUCACCAAGGCGACGAUCUGUAGCGGGUCUGAGAGGAUGAUCCGCCACACUGGAACUGAGACACGGUCCAGACUCCUACGGGAGGCAGCAGUGGGGAAUUUUGGACAAUGGGGCAACCCUGAUCCAGCCAUGCCGCGUGAGUGAAGAAGGCCUUCGGGUUGUAAAGCUCUUUCGGCCGGGAAGAAAUCGUAUGGGCUAAUACCCUGUGCGGAUGACGGUACCGGCAUAAGAAGCACCGGCUAACUACGUG